This 466-nucleotide ribosomal RNA is filed under the name uncultured bacterium. RNAcentral describes it as "partial 16S ribosomal RNA". It matches the Rfam family "Bacterial small subunit ribosomal RNA", at positions 28 to 507 of the family's 1533-position model. The record is from RNAcentral.
GAUGAACGCUGGCGGCGUGCUUAACACAUGCAAGUCGAACGAUGAAGCCCAGCUUGCUGGGUGGAUUAGUGGCGAACGGGUGAGUAACACGUGAGUAACCUGCCCUUGACUCUGGGAUAAGCCUGGGAAACUGGGUCUAAUACUGGAUAUGACUUCUCAUCGCAUGGUGGGGGGUGGAAAGAUUUAUUGGUCUUGGAUGGACUCGCGGCCUAUCAGCUUGUUGGUGAGGUAAUGGCUCACCAAGGCGACAACGGGUAGCCGGCCUGAGAGGGUGACCGGCCACACUGGGACUGAGACACGGCCCAGACUCCUACGGGAGGCAGCAGUGGGGAAUAUUGCACAAUGGGCGCAAGCCUGAUGCAGCGACGCCGCGUGAGGGAUGACGGCCUUCGGGUUGUAAACCUCUUUCAGUAGGGAAGAAGCGAGAGUGACGGUACCUGCAGAAGAAGCGCCGGCUAACUACGUG